UACGGAGGGUGCAAGCGUUAUCCGGAUUCACUGGGUUUAAAGGGUGCGUAGGCGGGUUGGUAAGUCCGUGGUGAAAUCCCCAAGCUUAACUUGGGAACUGCAUCCGAUACUGGAUGGCUUGAAUCCGGGAGAGGGAUGCAGAAUUCCAGGUGUAGCGGUGAAAUGCGUAGAUAUCUGGAGGAAUACCGGUGGCGAAGGCGGCAUCCUGGACCGGCAUUGACGCUGAGGAGCGAAAGCUAGGGGAGCAAACGGG
Molecule: ribosomal RNA, 253 nt
Filed under: uncultured bacterium
Lineage: Bacteria
Description: partial 16S ribosomal RNA
Rfam family: Bacterial small subunit ribosomal RNA
Source: RNAcentral